RNAcentral lists this unclassified non-coding RNA (359 nucleotides) under fungal sp. RNAcentral describes it as "partial internal transcribed spacer region". The stretch from base 1 to 46 matches the Rfam family "Eukaryotic small subunit ribosomal RNA", at positions 1786 to 1831 of the family's 1831-position model. The record is from RNAcentral. Lineage: Eukaryota; Fungi.
AAGUCGUAACAAGGUUUCCGUAGGUGAACCUGCGGAAGGAUCAUUAACACUUUGUUAUACCAAUAUCAACCAACUGUGAACUAUACGUCCCUAUCCAUUGUAUUAUGUUGAAUUAAUUUCGGUUAAUUUGCAUAAUACGAUGCGGUAGACAAUACCUCUCAUAGUAGUUAUCAAUAACUUCUAUGGCUUAGUUUCGGCUAAGUUGUAGAAGCUUGAUAGCGAACAUAUUAACCAAUUUUAACUCUAUACCAAAACCUUGACUAAUCUUCAUAAAUCUUUUUUAACUACCCUUAAUUGGGCGGUAGAAAAAGUUUUUACGAAACAAAGAACAACUCUUAGCAAUGGAUAUCUUGGGUCAU